CAAUAGCGUAUAUUAAAGUUGUUGCAGUUAAAAAGCUCGUAGUUGGAUCUGUGGUGUGCGGUGGGCUCCGGGCACUUGUUGUCUGAGUAGCUCGCCGCUGCCAUCCUUGGGUGGAACCUGUGUGGCAUUAGGUUGUCGUGCAGGGGAUGCCCAUCGUUUACUGUGAAAAAAUUAGAGUGUUCAAAGCAGGCUUAUGCCGUUGAAUAUAUUAGCAUGGAAUAAUGAGAUAGGACUUUUUCGCUAUUUUGUUGGUUUGCGCGAAGAGGUAAUGACUAAUAGGGACAGUUGGGGGUAUUCGUAUUCCAUUGUCAGAGGUGAAAUUCUUGGAUUUUUGGAAGACGAACUACUGCGAAAGCAUUUACCAAGGAUGUUUUCAUUAA
Molecule: ribosomal RNA, 380 nt
Filed under: uncultured eukaryote
Lineage: Eukaryota
Description: partial 18S ribosomal RNA
Rfam family: Eukaryotic small subunit ribosomal RNA
Source: RNAcentral